UGGGGAAUUUUGGACAAUGGGCGAAAGCCUGAUCCAGCAAUGCCGCGUGUGUGAAGAAGGCCUUCGGGUUGUAAAGCACUUUUGUCCGGAAAGAAAUCCUUGGCUCUAAUACAGUCGGGGGAUGACGGUACCGGAAGAAUAAGCACCGGCUAACUACGUGCCAGCAGCCGCGGUAAUACGUAGGGUGCAAGCGUUAAUCGGAAUUACUGGGCGUAAAGCGUGCGCAGGCGGUUUGCUAAGACCGAUGUGAAAUCCCCGGGCUCAACCUGGGAACUGCAUUGGUGACUGGCAGGCUAGAGUAUGGCAGAGGGGGGUAGAAUUCCACGUGUAGCAGUGAAAUGCGUAGAGAUGUGGAGGAAUACCGAUGGCGAAGGCAGCCCCCUGGGCCAAAUACUGACGCUCAUGCACGAAAAGCGUGGGGAGCAAAACAGGAUUAGAUACCCUGGUAGUCCACGCCCUAAAACGAUGUCAACUAGUUGUUGGGGAUUCAUUUCCUUAGUAACGUAGCUAACGCGUGAAGUUGACCGCCUGGGGAGUACGGUCGCAAGAUUAAAACUCAAAUGAAUUGACGGGGUCAUAGCUGUUUCCU
This 589-nucleotide ribosomal RNA is filed under the name uncultured bacterium. RNAcentral's name for it is "partial 16S ribosomal RNA". It matches the Rfam family "Bacterial small subunit ribosomal RNA", at positions 355 to 1375 of the family's 1533-position model. The record is from RNAcentral.